This 373-nucleotide ribosomal RNA is filed under the name uncultured Lactobacillus sp. RNAcentral's name for it is "bacterial SSU rRNA". It matches the Rfam family "Bacterial small subunit ribosomal RNA", at positions 167 to 526 of the family's 1533-position model. Lineage: Bacteria; Bacillati; Bacillota; Bacilli; Lactobacillales; Lactobacillaceae. The record is from RNAcentral.
UACCGGAUAACAACAGAUGAUGCCUAUCAACUGUUUAAAAAGAUGGUUCUGCUAUCACUCUUGGAUGGACCUGCGUGCAUUAGCUAGUUGGUAGGGUAACGGCCUACCAAGGCGAUGAUGCAUAGCCGAGUUGAGAGACUGAUCGGCCACAUUGGGACUGAGACACGGCCCAAACUCCUACGGGAGGCAGCAGUAGGGAAUCUUCCACAAUGGACGCAAGUCUGAUGGAGCAACGCCGCGUGAGUGAAGAAGGGUUUCGGCUCGUAAAGCUCUGUUGUUGGUGAAGAAGGACAGGGGUAGUAACUGACCUUUGUUUGACGGUAAUCAAUUAGAAAGUCACGGGCUAACUACGUGCCAGCAGCCGCGGUAAAAU